GAGAGGUCGGGCUUGCUUAACUGAAGCCUCGACAGUGAAUCUGAGUACCUAGUGGGCCAUUUUUGGUAAGCAGAACUGGCGCUGUGGGAUGAACCAAACGUCGAGUUAAGGGGCCUAAAUGAACGCUCAUCAGAUCCCAUGAAAGGUGUUGGUUGCUAUAGACAGCAGGACGGUGGCCAUGGAAGUCGGAAUCCGCUAAGGAGUGUGUAACAACUCACCUGCCGAAGCAACUAGCCCUGAAAAUGGAUGGCGCUCAAGCGUUCUCCCGAUACUAGACCGUCGGGGCAGUACCGGCCAGGGUAGCUUGCGCUCCCCGGUCUCGAAGCCCCGACGAGUAGGAGGGUCGCAGCGGUGAGCGUCGAAGGGACUCCGGCGUGAGCCGGCCUGGAGCCGCCGCUGGUGCAGAUCUUGGUGGUAGUAGCAAAUACUCGAGAGAGACCCUAGAGGGCUGAUGUGGAGCAGGGUUCCAUGUGAACAUCAGUUGGACAUGGGUCAGUCGGUCCUAAGUCCAUGGCGAAGGCCAGUUCCUACCGUGCAGGCAAAUGUCAAAACGUGUCGUGUUGCGAGUGCGUGGUGGUGGUGGGGUUGGGGGCGGAGAGCCGUGUUCAGGAUGUACCAACCACCGAGCUCUCUUACCCUCCCUUUCUUCCCUCCCACGCCCUCCUCCUCCUCACGUGUGCGUGAUGUGUCCAAAGAAUACUCUUCUGGACGAAAGGGAUUCCGGUAAAUAUUCUGGAACUUGGCUUCGGAGAUGCUCGGUGCCCUCGGUCGGUUACGGCCGGCCUUGGGAGUCACACUGUGGCAUAAACCCCAGUAAUGGGAUCAAAGCCCGCAUCCGUCGGCGGUGGCCCAGGGAAGAGUUUUCUUUUCUGUUUAAGACAUCUUUAGCCCUGGAAGCAACUUGCUAGGAGAGAGGGCUGUGGUACAAGGUAUCGCUGAUGUUCGUAGAGCGCUGCGGUUCUUGCAGCGUCCUGCGUGCCACCGUCGUCCCUUAAAGAUGCUGUGGAGGGUGUGAGUUUCUCGCACCCACAAUUUUCGAGCCAAGCCGUACCCAUAACCGCACCCGGUCUCCUAGGUGUCCAGCCUCUAGUC
RNAcentral lists this ribosomal RNA (1092 nucleotides) under Anaspides driesseni. Its description in RNAcentral is "partial large subunit ribosomal RNA". It matches the Rfam family "Eukaryotic large subunit ribosomal RNA", at positions 1075 to 1888 of the family's 3401-position model. The record is from RNAcentral. Lineage: Eukaryota; Metazoa; Arthropoda; Malacostraca; Anaspidacea; Anaspididae.